This 112-nucleotide small nuclear RNA is filed under the name Sus scrofa (pig). RNAcentral also lists the same sequence under 1 other name. Lineage: Eukaryota; Metazoa; Chordata; Mammalia; Artiodactyla; Suidae. The record is from RNAcentral.
GUGCUCGCUUUGGCAGUGCAUAUACUGGAAUUGGAAAGAUACAGAGAAGAUCAGGAUGGCCCCUGCACAAGGAUGACCAAAAAAAAAAAAAAAAAAAAAAUCCCAUAUAAUU